RNAcentral lists this ribosomal RNA (439 nucleotides) under uncultured bacterium. RNAcentral describes it as "bacterial SSU rRNA". It matches the Rfam family "Bacterial small subunit ribosomal RNA", at positions 340 to 773 of the family's 1533-position model. The record is from RNAcentral.
UACGGGAGGCAGCAGUGGGGAAUAUUGCACAAUGGGCGCAAGCCUGAUGCAGCCAUGCCGCGUGUAUGAAGAAGGCCUUCGGGUUGUAAAGUACUUUCAGUCGUGAGGAAGGUGUUAAGGUUAAUAACCUUAGCAAUUGACGUUAGCGACAGAAGAAGCACCGGCUAACUCCGUGCCAGCAGCCGCGGUAAUACGGAGGGUGCGAGCGUUAAUCGGAAUUACUGGGCGUAAAGGGCACGCAGGCGGUUAAUUAAGUUGGAUGUGAAAUCCCCGGGCUUAACCUGGGAAUGGCAUUCAAGACUGGUUAGCUAGAGUCUUGUAGAGGGGGUAGAAUUCCAUGUGUAGCGGUGAAAUGCGUAGAGAUGUGGAGGAAUACCGGUGGCGAAGGCGGCCCCUGGACAAAGACUGACGCUCAUGCGCGAAAGCGUGGGGAGCAAAC